RNAcentral lists this unclassified non-coding RNA (217 nucleotides) under plant metagenome. Its description in RNAcentral is "partial contains small subunit ribosomal RNA, internal transcribed spacer 1, and 5.8S ribosomal RNA". The record is from RNAcentral.
UCUCCGUAGGUGAACCUGCGGAGGGAUCAUUACAAGUGACCCCGGUCUUACCACCGGGAUGUUCAUAACCCUUUGUUGUCCGACUCUGUUGCCUCCGGGGCGACCCUGCCUUCGGGCGGGGGCUCCGGGUGGACACUUCAAACUCUUGCGUAACUUUACAGUCUGAGUAAACUUAAUUAAUAAAUUAAAACUUUUAACAACGGAUCUCUUGGUUCUG